UUAACUGAUGACAUUGCCUUGUGAAAUUCCUUCUCCUGGCUCAUCCUGGCUCAAAAGCUCCCCCACUGAGUACCUUGUGACCCCCACUCCUGCCUGCCAGAGAACAACCCCCCUUUUUCCUUUACCUACCCAAAUCCUAUAAAACAGCCCCACCCCUAUCUCCCUUCGCUGACUCUUUUCGGAUCAGCCCACCUGCACCCAGGUGAUUAAAAGCUUUAUUGCUCACAUAAAGCCUGUUUGGUGGUCUCCUCACACAGAAGUGCAUGAAAUUUGGUGCCGUGACUCGGAUCGGGGGACCUCCCUUGGGAGAUCAAUCCCCUGUCCUCCUGCUCUUUGCUCCAUGAGAAAGGUCCACCUACGACCUCAGGUCCUCAGACCGACCAGCCCAAGAAACAUCUCACUAAUUUCAAAUCCGGACCCCACUGGAAAUCGGACUGUUCAACUCACCUGGCAGCCACUCCCAGAGGCCCUGGAACUCUGGCCCAAGGCUCUCUGACUGACUCCUUCCCAGAUCUUCUCGGCUUAGCGGCUGAAGACCGACGCUGCCGGAUCGCCUCGGAAGCCCCGUAGACCAUCACAGAUGCUGAGCUUUAAGUAACCCUCACAGUGGACGGUUCCCACGCCGCCCCUAGUCCCGCUUGAAGCAGCCUGGAGAAACAUCGCCCAUUAUCUCUCCAUACCAUCCCCAAAAAUUUUCGCCAUCCCAACACUUUACCACUGUUUUGUUUUAUUUUAUAAAUAAAUUAAUUAUUAAUAUAAGAAUAUAUUUAUUUUAUAAAUAAAUUAAUUAUUAAUAUAAGAAGACAGGAAUGUCAGGCCUCUGAGCCCAAGCUAAGCCAUCAUAUCCCCUGUGACCUGCACAUACACAUCCAGAUGACCGGUUCCUGCCUUAACUGAUGACAUUCCACCACGAAAGAAGUGAAAAUGGCCUGUUCCUGCCUUAACUGUGAGAUUGUCUUGUGAAAUUCCUUCUCCUGGCUCAUCCUGGUUCAAAAGCUCCCCUACUGAGUACCUUGUGACCCCCACUCCUGCCUGCCAGAGAACAACCCCCCUUUUUCCUUUACCUACCCAAAUCCUAUAAAAUGGCCCCACCCCUAUCUCCCUUGGCUGACUCUCUUUUCAGACUCAGCCCGCCUGCACCCAGGUGAUUAAAAGCUUUAUUGCUCACACAAAGCCUGUUUGGUGGUCUCUUCACAUGGACGUGCGUGAAACCAGCUACUUGGGAGGUGGAGGCAGGAGGAUCGCUUGUGUCUAGGAGGUCAAAGCUGCACUGAGUUAUGACGGCAUCACUGCACUCCAGCCUAGGUGACUCAGUGAAACCCAGUUCAAAAAAUUAUUAUUUUAAAAAAAGAGUGUAGAAAGAGUUCGACAACAAAGGAGUAGCACAAGGAUAUUUGGGUAUGCAGGGGGUGAGACAGUGAUGGAACUGUUCUAUUUCUUGAUUGUGAUGAUGGUUGUAUUAGUUUGUACAUUUGUUAAGACUCAUAGAACUAUAUACCAAAAAGAGUGAUUUUUGCUGUAUGUGAAUUUUAAAACAAAUUAAGAAAAUGUAUUGAAAAUAAAAUCAUAGACCGCAAUACCAUUGUAUUAGUUUCCUAUGGCUGCUGUGACAAGUAACCACAAACUUGGUGAUUUUAAACAACAUGAAUGUACUUUUCCGUAGUUCUAGAGGCCAGAAGUCCAAGAUGAGUCUUACAGAGCUAAAAUCAAGGUGUAGACAGGCCCAGGCUCCUCCUGGAGGUUGCCUCCUCCAACUACUGGUGGCCAUUGGCAUUUCUUGGCUUGUGGCUGCAUCACUCCAAUCUCUGUUUCCAUGGUCAUAUUAAUUUCUCUUCUUUUUUCUGUGUGAAUUAUGCCCUUGCUCCCUCUCUUAUAAUGAUACUUAGGAUUGCAUUAGAGAUCAGGUGAAUACUCCAGGAUAAUCUCCUAUCUCAAGAAUCUUUAAUGGCUCUAGACAGCCUUUGCCAUAUAAGGUAAUAUUCACUGAUUCCAGGGAUUAGAAUGUGGCCAUUUGGGGUAUGAGGCCAUCAUUCAGCCUCCCACAACCGUAGUAAAUAGGAGAGGUCUACACAGGGAACUUUUCAUAUACUGAUAAUGUU
This is a long non-coding RNA of Gorilla gorilla gorilla (western lowland gorilla), 2099 nucleotides long. RefSeq lists it as uncharacterized. The record is from RefSeq and is a predicted model, not a curated record. The transcript has 3 exons. NCBI's taxonomy places the organism in Eukaryota, Metazoa, Chordata, Mammalia, Primates, Hominidae.